This 74-nucleotide transfer RNA is filed under the name Verrucomicrobiales bacterium. Its description in RNAcentral is "tRNA-Arg". It matches the Rfam family "tRNA". From Rfam's summary of the family: Transfer RNA (tRNA) molecules are approximately 80 nucleotides in length. Their secondary structure includes four short double-helical elements and three loops (D, anti-codon, and T loops). Lineage: Bacteria; Pseudomonadati; Verrucomicrobiota; Verrucomicrobiia; Verrucomicrobiales. The record is from RNAcentral.
GCGCGCGUAGCUCAACUGGAUAGAGUGCCGGCCUCCGAAGCCGUAGGUUGUGGGUUCAACUCCCGCCGCGCGCA